Long non-coding RNA from Selaginella moellendorffii, 1727 nucleotides. RefSeq lists it as uncharacterized. The record is from RefSeq and is a predicted model, not a curated record. NCBI's taxonomy places the organism in Eukaryota, Viridiplantae, Streptophyta, Lycopodiopsida, Selaginellales, Selaginellaceae. The transcript has 3 exons.
GAAAAUCCUCCGGAGACUGCGAGGAGCCAGCUUCUCACCGUAACAGGAGAGGAGCUCUUGAAGAAGACGAGCAAGAGACCGGUAUCUCCAUGCCGACAACAUCCAAACCCAGAGUUGACCCGGAGGAGUUCCUGUGCUCUUCGAUGGCGCUUAGCUACUAAACGCGAUCCCUCGGGAGUUUUAAAGUGAGGCUGUAGCUAGCAAGCUAGAGACAAGGGAACCUACAGCAGAGAGUUGAUGCAAGAUAAGUUUCACUUUAAACAAUUUUCGCUGUUUUUUCUUUGUUUAGUUUGUUUUUCCUUUCGUUUUCAACUGGUUUGUGUUGCACCAUGAUUGGCAGGGGAAAAAAGAGCGUGUAGAUCUGAGAUGAGUUUGGUGAGAACCAAACCAAAACGGAAGGAGCGCUCCUCGUUCUCGCUAAUCUGCUCGGGUAAGUUGUAAGUGAUCUUAUGAUUGGUUACUCAGCAAGAUUUUCGCUUUGGUCGCUCGGUCCCUUCCACUUCUAGCCUGCUACCUUUCUUCCAGAGGAAAAGUUAGAGCUUUCUUGGUUUCUAACCCUCCUAACUUUUCCUCUCUUUUGUUCUUUGCAACAGGAAGACAAUCAUAGGCUCGGCAUUUCUAAAUCCAUCGCAAGCCGAGGAACGCUACGCUCCUUCUUGGAUCCCUAGGAAAAAGCGCAUCAAAGGUACGACUCGAUCAAAACUCUCCUUUUCCGCGACAGACACUGUGAAGCAAAAAGAAGAACUUAGUAGUAGCAAGAACUAAGAGACGAAGAACAGGGUAGGUAGAUAGGAAUUGCCUCGUUGGUAUAUCUCUAGCUGUGGCUACGUAGCACCAUAGCGCUGGCAGCACUGGGACACAGGGAGAGGAUUUCUGGAGAGUGUGACAGACAGUACAGACAGUGUACACACACUACUCAAGUCUGCUGCCGAUAGGAAAGGAUCGAGAAGUGUUGUCACAGCACAGUGGUCGUGGUGGUGGUGGUGGUGGUGAAAGAGCAAAAGGUGGACGAGUAGCGGCACUAGCAAUAGAAUGGGCUGCAAGUUUUGCAGAGGAGGAGAGCGACCGUGCGUGCUCGCUCUGUAGACACAAUAGAGACCGACAGCAGCAGGGACAUAUGGUGACACUUCCUCCUUUUUUUUUUACUGCAUUUUACUGCCGAGCAAACAAGUAAACGACAAGCAGGCAGGGCAGGCAGGUAGAAUCCUCCGGUGUGGGGUUUAGUAAACUAAGAGCCUAUGGAUCGAGAAGGAAAGCCCGGGAAUCAAAGCAGGAAUCAAAGCAAGAAAAGCGAGCCGAGCUUUCCAGAUCCUUCGCGAAGAAACUCAAGUGAUCUUAAAGGAAAAGCUCAAGCUUGGAAAAACCACGAAGAAAGAAGAAGAGAAAGGCAUGGGCUGGAAGAUCCUUCUUUGGGAGGCUAAAACUUCGUGGGAUAGGUGUAGCGGGUCCACGUGCGGCUUUCUGACCGCUCUAUUCUCUAAUUAAAUUCCACAGGUUGCUCACCUUCCAUUGUCAAAUCCUGUUAGAUCAAAACAAAGAAAUGUCACUUACGUAGGGUCUUCGCACUUUGAUAGAAAUCUCCUUGUGUGACAACUUAGAACGAGUGUGGCUUGUUACUUCCAAACUUAUGAAGAAAACUACAUUGGGUAAUGGCAGUUGGUAGAAAUCUCAGUGCUUUGAUUGAUCACACCCAAGAAAUGUUACAUAUGAAGAAAAUUACAUUGGGC